Molecule: long non-coding RNA, 13794 nt
Organism: Passer domesticus (house sparrow)
Lineage: Eukaryota; Metazoa; Chordata; Aves; Passeriformes; Passeridae
Exons: 9
Source: RefSeq, a predicted model, not a curated record
GGCCAGCAUAGCCUGGUGUUUUAGGGGCAUCUGGUCCCUUCCAGCACAGUGCAGGGGACACAGGAGGCCAUGCUCACACUGGGGCUGCAUGGCAGAAAAGUCCAGGAUAUCCAUGGAGACAAGUCACAGCAUAGGGAUGCCAUCCCAAGGCACAGCUACUGCCACAGGCAGCACCAAACAAAACCCACAGAGCUCCUGGAAUCACCUGCAGAGAACUCUGUAUGGCUCUGUGGAGUGCACAGGACACCUGUGUACACAGGUGGCUGCAGCUUGUGCCUCUGGACUAGGCAGUUGCAAAACAGGGAAACCAAAAGUAAUCUGAAGAGCAAAUUCCAGUCUUAAAUUACAUUUUAAGUCUCAAGGAUACUAUUCCAGUGAACUGGCAGAGCAAGCUGUCUUACUCUGCCAGCUGAACAAUACCAAUAUCACCCAACAUGGGUGUCAAAAAAAGGCAGAGAUCCUGACCAUAGUUUACAACCAUGGGACUGUUUUUGCUGUAGAGGGGGGAGAAAAAUGAGUCAUCACUUGGCUCAUAGAAGCCUCCUCAUUAUUUGAGGUCAAAUUCCUGACAUGUUCAUGUUUGAGUUUGAGAUGGAGGUGUUAGGAAUGAAUGCACCAGGGAGCCCUGAACACCAGGCAUGGAUCAGAGAGAUGAGCUGUGAACUUUGGAGACUGCAGAAGGGCAAGUUCCAGAAGGAGCAAUUGGGCAGCAGGCUUGAACUGAAGUUUGUGAGCUCUGAGAGAGAGCCCACUCAGAGGGAGAUUGCUGGUCACAGCCCACUGCAGUCCUGGAGAGCUCAAAGGCUCUCACUUAGGACUGAGCUUUGUAGGGUUACAAAAGAGUUGACUUUAGCCAUGGUAACUUUCUAUCCUGCCUGCAAUUCCAGUUGUUUUUGCUAUCAAGCUUUCAAAGAAAAAAUACACUUGGGUUGUUAUUCAGGCAAGAAAGGUAAGUUUCCAAGGCUGUUUGUUGAAAAGCAGGAGCUGCUUAGACAACUUGCGUUUCUGGAAGCAGACAGUGUUUCUGAUGGGCUCAAGAGGAGCUGAGCCCAGGUGCUGUUCAUCAAGGCUGAGGCCUGACAAGCAUUUCUUACACUGUAGUGCAUCCAGAGGUGGGGAGGAAGGGAGCAUGCACCACCAAACCUUUUUUCAGGCCAUUCCAAAGAGGUGUUUUUCUCGAGGCUUUAGUCAGGGCUGACUACCAAGAUUGUCCUAGCUUUUUUUGGAGCCUCCUAUGCUUUACCUGCUUUCACUCAUGUUCCCUGUCUCCAAGACUUCUGUACAAAACAGUAAUUACUUAGCAACUGUCAUAUCUGUUCCCACCCUCGUUGGUUCAAUUUUGUGGAUAUUUGGCUCUCCUUUGGGCAGUGACUCGUGCAGUGUUUUGGAAUGGAGAUGGCUGUUUCUCUGCAAUGGAACCAGACUGUAUCUUAUAGCCAACUUAAGACCAGCAGUAACGUCUGUCUGUUUUCACUGCAUUUCACCAAGCUGUGGAACAAUGAUUGGGGUAAUAUCAGAGGAAAGGAGCUUAUAUUCACAGCCUAAUAGAGGUUAUAACAGUAAGGAAAUUAUAGAGUAAAACACAGUUGCUGCUCUCUGGAUGGAAUGUGGUUGGUGUGCUCAAAACCUAUUCCACGACGAUUCCCCACACCCACAGUCUGCAACCACAGCACCUGCUAAGGGGGAUGAAGCAGAGGGUGGAGUGGAGACACCUCAUUUGGGCUCUGUUGAAAUCCUUGCAAGGAGGGGAACUCAGUAGCACUUUGCAGCUGAGAAACUGCAAAAAACCUGUCAGCCAAGGGAGACAGGAGAUGUCCUGCUGCUGAGCCAACAGCUGUGGUGAAAUCAUGCUCCUUGUAUGAACUUGGUCCAUUAUAGCCUAAUUGUAACAACACACACCUCCACCCCAAAGUACAACCACCUCUCAUUGGGCAUGUGCUCUGUAUUUUUGACUGUAUGUUUAAAAACAAAGUGAGAGAAUUUUACACCAAUCAGUAACAAAGGUAUUGUAUGACUGCAGUCACCCAAGCUCCACCAAAAUGUAGAGAAUUAGUAUAGAAGUAAGUUGAGAGUGAAGGAAGUUAGGGAAGACUCCAUCAUAGCUACCAGCUGAUAGGCUGAACCUGUCUUCUCCCCUGUGGAAACACCAAUUGGGUUGCUUACUGGCACUAUUGGGCCAACAAAGGCUGUAGCUCCAGGAACGUUGUACUUGCCACCGAGAGAAGCUGAUACAAGGUAAAUGAGGCGAAGAAUUGCCGUGGCGACUGCACUCCCCGCCCUGACAGAUGCCAGGCUUCCAGGCAAGAAUAUCUGUGCGUUGCUCUAAAGCCCCCAAGCUCUCCCUCUUUUCGGAGAGGGUGAGGACCAUGCUACCCUGUCUCCAGACUGGGAGAAUGGUAAACACCAGGAUAUGGAGUGGUUUCUGCACAUUUCAGUAGAAGAGGCCACUGUCUGGGUACCUCUUGCACUGGUCACUACUGCAGUGCAUAGACAGAAGGGCUGUGGUUCGAAUUACUGUGACACAGUGUGGUUCUUGCACUGUGUGCCCACUUAGUGUCCUCAGGAGCAGCGAGGUCUGAGCCAGCUGCCAGCCCUUAGGCACAAACUGCGUGUGCAGAGAGCUGUGUGCUGGAGGACAUCACACCUGUGCUGCAAGAGGUGCUCCAGGGAGAAUCACAGGGAACACUCCAAUCCUGGUGCCACCAGGAGCUUGGAGCUCACCAGCAACACGUACUGCAAGACUCCAAGGACAGACAAAAGACAAAUGUGCACCAGAACAUAAGGCCUUUUUGCACCUAGUGUAUUCAUACUUGCUUUUAGUGCCCACAUGGAACAUGUUCUCUAUUUUCUCUGUUCUUAUUUGGAUUAAAUCAUGUCCUGUGCUGUCUUGUCCCUGGCAAAGAAAGUACAGCUGCAUCUUUCGGGUACCACAGGUGCUAAGGUGUGUUCCUCAAAGACUUCUAUAUUUUAUCUUCAGAGACCUUACUCCUUUCAUCUUCAGAAACCUCAUUUCUUUCUCAGUUCUUUAGUUCUAAGUGGUCUGUGAGGCUAUAAUAAAUCAUAUGUCUUCUGUGUUCUCAGUUAGAGGUUUGGGGAGAUGGUUACUUUGUAGUCUGUGAGGAAAACUUGAAGGAGGAAAGGCUUUGUGGACCACAAAUGUUUGGAGAUGCUUGGUUUGAGGAGCAACACUGAUGUAUCCUGCACAGCCCCAUAUGAAAAAGCUGGAAAGAAGAAACCAAGGGAAUGAUCAUGCUGGUCCUGGAGGCUGAAGUACCACAGGAAACCAGGGAAGUGCUGUAGACCAGCAAAAAAAUAAUAUUCAUGGAAUCAAAACACAAAGUACUUGCACAGUCACUCUCCAGAUGGGACCCCAUGGCUUCUCCGUAGGUUUCAUGAGAAGGGAAGAAGUGCUAGUGAAUUUGACAGUGGUAGUAAUAAGACUAUGCAAGACUUCCUUGGGUGCCUAAGAUGCCUAUGCAAGCCAGGACCUGCCUGCAGACUUGUUCCACUUUCAGCUCAGAUUGCUUCUCUCCUUUCUGGGACAUCAAGAGCAGAAUCCUUCAGAGCAGGACCUGCUACAGAAAUCCAGAUCAGCUUGCAUUAAGAAAAUGAAAAUGAAAAUACAAGAAAACAGCUUGUAUGAGCAAAGCUGUUACUUAGAGUGGCAACUUUUAUCUCACCUCAACUUUACCCGAAGACAUAUGAAGAUAUUCUAGUCAUUGUUCAAGUCCAUAUAUAGAAAAAUGGUUUAUUAAGGGAACAAAAGACAUGAAAACCAUGGACUUAGAAUUCAGCCUGUGACAUGAAGAAACUAGCUCCUGUUCACCACCUUCCAGUUUCAUGACUCUGUCUUGUCUCAUCUUCAGAGAUGGGUGAGUUGGACAAUCUUUGCUUCCUUCUCCAGAGUGAAGAACGGUCAGCCUUCUCAGUUAGGAAAACAGAUAUUCCUCUUCAUCCUUCUCCAUCUUCAGGUGCCACUAAGGGCUGUUUUCUGAACUUGACUCAGUCAACUUUCUUUUCUGUUCAUGUUGUAACCUCUCUGCAUAAUAUAUUCAGUCUUCUAGGGCUCAGCUGUAAAUAUACCAGGCCCAGGCUACAGAAGGGACACACAUUUAGCAUAGAACAAGAUAUUAAAACUCUUAUCUGAUUAUUUUAGACCUUAAGUUACUGGAACUCCUUGCAGUAUUGUAAGGAAUUAACUGCAUGCAAACACACAUUCACCUCCUAUGAAAUAAGCAGACCAGACACUUUACCCAUGAGGAAAAGCUGCCACAUAUGUAUUAAAUUGGAUUUUGAUACUGCAGGCAACACCCCUCUGCAACUGCCCAACAAACCCUGAACUGCCCAUAAGAAAAGCAGCCCUGCAGACAUAUGCAGGGCUCCUCCACAGCAGCUGGCAGAUUGCAGAGGGAGUAGAUGCAAAAGAAGCCUGGAGGGAACUGCACAAGAGAUACAGCAGCAAUAACAAUACACUGAAACAACUAACAGGGAGAAAAAGAAAAGAAGAAAAUAGCCAGCCCAAAACCGAUAGAGAUCUUUAAUUUAAAACCAAGUAAGUUUAUUCAUUGUGAAAGUGCAACAAAAUACCCUAGGGAUAGUGCAUUCCACUCCAACAAUUAAAAUUGCAUUAAAAACUAGAUAGGAUGGUCUGAAUCUUAAAAAGAACUAGCACAAAAGCCAGUGCUUUUCUUUGUUUCAAUAUAUUUAUCUUUGGGUGACAGAGAUAGUCACUGAUUAAUUUUUUAGGUACUUAAUUUACAGCUUCAUUGCUAUUAUUUGCAAGUCAUCCUGCUCCUUACAGAUGCUAGCUCGGGACUGGAGAACUGUAACACACAGGCACUUAGGAGAGGGCAGUUUUGAAAGAAUGGCCAUGUUGGGCUCAGUCACAUACUUACUGCUGGGAGGAGACCCAGUUGGGAGCUACUAGAUAUUCUAAGUAGAUAUUGCUCCCAAACGUUUCUAAAAUCGGAGACAAGAUGUUCAGUACCAUUACUAAAAGCAGAUUCUGCUGCAGCUGAGGGGAUGCAAACAGGCAAAAGGAGAGCACAGGACUAUGCAAAGCUUACAGCAGGUGUUGCUUGAGGGAGCUGCCAGUUUCUGACCACUGAACCCAUUUUUGCUGUAGAAGUAAUUAUCUGGAAAAUGCUGCAGGUAGGUCUUACAUCCAUAGCAGCCUAUUCUCAUACAUACUUGUUACUUUGCUUCAGCUGAGCUUUACAAGCCCAACAGGAUUCUCUAUCCCAUAGCAAUUAUGUAUCUUUUGCUAACACUCUCUGCCCAAUGAUUUCAAAAUACUUUAUAAGCAUCACUCCUAAAGCUUAAACCAAGCUUCAGCAAAAGCUUAAACCAUUUAAGCUUAACCAAGCUUAAAGUUCUCUGACAUACAGGUGUUUUAAAGGAAACAGAGUACAGUAAACAUUUGCAACAAAAUGCCAACAGAAUUAAUCUCCUGAGUCCCAGUCCUGAACUUAUCCUUCUUUUCUUUUUAAAUUAUUUUUCUUCUCCUUCUACCCAUUUAUUACAGCAAGAGGACUACAUUUAUUCUGCACAGGUUUAUUAACUGCAAUACAGACAAGUGACUUCCAGUAUUACACCAGUUCCUAAUUCCACACGGAGAUUGCCUGUCUGGUCCAUGUCAGUACUAUGGCCUGGUCUCAGCUGACUCUGUUUGGUUUAUGUCUUUUGGCUUUGCUGUUCUCAUGAUAACUGUCUUCAGAGGGUGCUUGGCCCUUUCCAUUUGUCCCAGAUUCCUCUGGAAAUUUCUGACCCUCAGCCAACACCUGUCGAACAGUCAUGUUGAUGCGGGAGGACUGCAGGUACUUGGCACACACCUGCCAGUCCUCAUCAGAGCUGUGCUCAAUGACUGAGCCAACAGGAAGGUCUGAAGGAAGAGCUUGGUCGAGGCAGGAAGGCAGAGCUGUCCCCUCAGGGUUGGCGAGGACCCUGGGGACAGCGUGGUACAGCAGGCGGCUGAAGCCAGACAUCACCAUGAUAUCCCCGCUGUGCAUGAACAUCGCUGUCGGCGCCUCCUCCCGCUUCAGGCCCCCAAGCAAAAAUAUUGAGGAUUGCCCAAAACUACACAUGGUAUAAAGAUGGAGAGAGAAAACAAAUUCAGGUACAGAACAAUUUUCUCUACAGUAAGAAAAUACCAGUAGUUAAAUUCCUUAAUUAAAAACACCCCAAGCAAUCACAAAAACCAGAGACUCCUAAGAACAACUUUUAGGUGGGAACAUGGCAAACAGACCAAGAGAUCUGGUUCAAGAUAGGCACAGUGCAAGCAAUUGCCCUGCCAGGUUUGAAGCUCUGCUGAGAUACUUCUUUAGUACCCAACUGGUGCUCUGCUGCUUUAGAACAGAACUGUGCUCUCUGCAAAAGAGCUCUUCAUUCCAGGCACUAUAUCCAGGCUAUUUAAGCAGUCCUUAAAGAAAACCUAUGCCUCCAACCUACAGACUUCUGCUAUUCAAAUCUUCUGAGAGUGAAGAUUAUAUACCCAAUUAGCAAACUACAUCAUACUGCCUUCCUGUAACCAUAAGCAACCCUAGAAAAAAGCCACUGAUCUUUCCAUAACACUCAAAUGUGCUUUCCUUGACUCACCUGAAUGACAGCAGGGGCCGAGAAUGGUCUAGUUCAGACUCAUCCACAUGAAUUCCCAGUGAAGAGUCAAAGUGAUAGUAGUUCAAGAUCCCUGCUUGGGCUUGGAAACCCCGAAACCCACAGGCUGCAGCCACUUGUUCUGAUAGGAAUGCAAGGUCUGAGGGGAAAGGAGUGUGGUGAUUUGCUGAGUACUUCUGGAAGGAGGAGAGGGGGGAAGGAAAAAAAAAAAAGAAAGCCACACCCAACACAUCAGAGCAGCAAAUACACUUGGAAACAAGCAUUGAAAAAGAACUCAAAAUCCUGGCUGAUAGUCAUGGAAAAGGACAUCAUAUUUACCUAGAAAAUGACUACAACACAGGCAGAAUCACAGCAAAUUUACCUCCUACCAUUACAUUCAUGGCCUAGGCUGAGACUGCCAGAGAUUCAAUUAAUUAUGGAGUUAAUCAUUAUAUCUAGAUGCUAAAUUUGAAAUCAGUAAGAUUAGUACCAACACCCUGAGGAUCUUCUCAGUCACAACCUAAAGCUGCCAAUGGGAAGACAGUUCUGUAGCUCAUCAACAGAGCUCCAAAAUAAGCAUCUUUAUUCCUUCAUAAAUAACAACCAGAAAUCAAUUGCAAACCUACUUUUUCUCUUUCCCAUAAGUCAUUCUGAGAGGACUGGAAGAUAAUAACCAAACUUUUAUUAAGGCCAUCCAAUAACAGGUUGAUCUGGUAAAUAAAAGGCUGCAAGCAGAUUUGGUUAUCUGCAACAUACAGAUAAGAUGCAUAUUCACUCUGCCAGUGUUUAUCAGCCUCCAUCUAUCUCAGUCUCAUGAAAAAAAAGUUUAUUUUGAUCAGGAUCCUCAAAACAGCUGUCAGUUGGUAAGAAUGCACUGUAGUGGUUCAGACUCAUUAAAGAUCAGCAGUUUCUUCUUGCUCCUCCUCACCCCACCAAAGAGUAGUUUCCCAGAAGUCCUACUCAACUUAAGUAGUUAGCAAUGCUUUUGUAAUCAUCCCUUUUGGUAGGUAAAAAUGCCACUUACCCUGAAAUAGUUGCAGGUUUAGAGCUGAGUGUAUACUAUCACGUUAACUUUCAAAGGAAAAGAAUGCAGCAAUGGACUUUUGCUGUUCAACCCUUCACAGUAAACCAAUACAAAUGAAAAUGUUCUUGAAAGCAGUUUGUUAGUGCCUUUUCUCAAGACUGUCUUGUAGGAUCAUAAACAUUUUAUUCCAUUAUAUCCUUCUCUGUCUGCCAUUCUGAGUGUUUAUGGCUAAGAAAAAUGGAGAAGAAUUUAACCUCAUUACCUUAGUAUCCCAGUUAUAAUGGUAACCAAGGGUCACCCAGCGCAGCUUCUCCAAUAGGCUCCUGGGCUCCCAUUUACUGGAACCUUUCCUUCUGCAAAGACAAAAUAUAAAGAAAUGGGAUAUGUGUUAAUUUCUGAGGGGUCUUCUGGUAGUGCAGCAUACGGUAAUGAGAUUCACUCAUCCAUUUCACAGCCUAUUAAAACCAGUCAAUGCUAUUAAAAAUGAUCAAUACUAAACUUUUAUUUUCAAUGCCAAUACUCUCUUCCUCCAAAGACCUUGAAAAUUUAGUUCAUGGAAUGUGUGGAAGCUGUGGGGCCUACUGCCAACUGUUGUCAGUUUGAAAGCUUGUAUUUUCAACAUGGUACCUAAGAGAUUAUUGGAUGGAAACACAACGAGUAGCACAGAUUAAGAAGUCAGAAUUAAACAUAUCCUAUUUGAGCACCCAAAAGUGAAAGACCAGAAUUUCAAGAUCUGAAAGCUGCAAAUUCAAGGAAAAAACAUUCUAGGCACUUAAUGGAAAAUUACAAGAAAGGAAAAUGAGUUGCCUGACAGUGAAGCAUAGUAUGCUGCCUAAUAUUGCAAAGGAUGGUUAGUUCUACUACUUGGUACUUUAAUAAAAUGUCCUUAGGAUGGGCUGACUUGCAGUAAGGAGCAAGACUUCUCUAGCUGUGACCACAGUGUCAAGAAAUCUAGACUGCAGGUGUCCCCUAUUCCAGACUGCUAUGCAGGACAAAGAACUGUUCUUCUCAUGUGAAAACCCUGAAGUAAAGGGACUGAGUGGUCUGAAGCCACACACCAGUUUACCAUUCUUACUUGCAGGCGAUGAAAGCAAGACGAGGCUUCAAGGGGAGGCUUCUAGGACAAACUAUGGAAAAGCCUUUGAAAAGUUACAGAGUACAAAUAACUAAAUCAAAUAUGUUAAUGACAAAUACAAAAAUGAAGGUACACAUCUAUCUUCUAGUCUACUCAUUCCAGCAAUUUCAGCAUACUUUUCUCAAGCCAAGUCAUGUGUUGUGGUAAAAAAAGAAAAAUACAGAAAGGGGAAAUAUACUAAGAAGACAAACAGUAGUACCAGACAGCUGGCUCUCAUUUAUAGCCUCAUUAGUUCAGCAUCAUCUUUUACAAAAAAAGAUUUAUAUUUGUGCUGUCAUGGUCAAGUCUCAGCCAAACAUCUGCAUUUAAUGUGCAUUUCUACCUGGAUACACAUCUUGUUCUUGCCCUUCAACUAUGCCAUCCUGAUAACUCAUAAGGUAAACCAGGAACAGGAGUACAAAGCAAGCUUCUUUACCUUUAGUAAUUUUUCUCAGUUCACUGAUUAGUGAAAAUAGUCUUUCCAAUUUCCAUCUGUCAUAGGGUAACAGCAACUGCAAUUACCAUAAACACCAACACAGUAUCUGUCAAAUACAUGCUGCUUGGAACAAUUUGUGUAGCCCACAAGCAGGCAACACAGCAUUUAGAAAAGGAGAGCCCACAGUUUGCUCUUGUACAUCUUUCAACUGACAAACAGUGUUCAGAAUGAAACAACUUUAGCAUGUGCCUUUCAGUGCCCUUUUUUAGCUACAGUGCUAGGAGUGUUUGCACAACAGCAAGAGCCCAAAUGUGUGUAGGAAGUCCUUAUUCCCAGAACUUGGUAUUUUACAUGUGAUUUCAUAUGUGCUUGCUAAGAAGGGGAAAGUAAGAGUGUUAUAUAUCUGGAAACAAUGAGGUCCCAUAAGAAAGCACAGAAAAGGUCUGGUAUAACUAUGUUAGAAAAAGACUGAACAGCAUGGGAGCUUUGGUCUGAAGAUCCCUUGUUUUUUUAUUUGCUGGUAAUGACUGCAUCUUUUUUCCUAAUACCCAAGGAUGGAGACACAGAUAUACAGGUAUCUCCCUUGGGGGAAUGCUCUAUUCCCUUUUAUGCUUUUAAUUGUCCCAAGUACCAGAGAAAAUAUUCAGGCUCCACUUUGUGAGGAAAGCAUAGCAUAUAUAUCAUGGAAUUGUAUAGAUUCACCCUACCUUGUGAUUCCUGCAUCCUGAAAAGAGCAGAUAAGCCAUGACCCAAGCACAUGCAUGCAUUAUCCUACUGGCUUUAAAAGCAUUAAAGGUGUGACCCAUCUUGGAAGUAGACCUCUCUUCAGUCAAGCACUGUUUCUUGCCUCCCCAAAAGUUUUCACUCCAGGUACUAGAGACGCUGGCUAGUUCCAUCUGCUGCCUCCAGGUAUAAGCACAAAUACAGCAGUUUGCUCACUUGAAGACUUCAAAAAAUUGCCAGGGUUGCUGCCACCCAUGACUUUUCUAAACACUCUUUUCAACUGAACUAGAUUCAGCUGCAAAUUAACCUCUGCUCUGAUCACUCUGCACACAGGAGGUCCAGCUGGGAGAAGCCUGUCAAACUGGAACAGUACCCCACUUUUUUCAGCCAUUGGGCACAAUGCACAAUCCUUUCACAGAACAAUUUUUCAUUCUUGAUGGAACACAAAAAUGGUGUCUACAUUUCUGUAACUAAUUCUGAUUGAGCCUGGAAAACAGAGGUGAGAGUAUAACUUCUCUCCUAGGUGCAAACAGGUGAGAGUAUAACUUCUCUCCUAGGUGCAAACAGUUAGGAGUCCCAAUCUUGCUUUUGCCAUUCCAUAUCUUGUAUGUUAAGAGUUUUUUUGCAGAAAAAGCUCAGCAUGUCAACCUAAGAGAAUGAGGUGGAAGCUGAGCAUUGUAGAGAACUCCGGUUGCACCAACAAAAAAAACAACCAUUAUGAAAAAUGAGCAGUGAAAUCAAUAAGGUAAUGAUAAAUAUUCAAAUAUCUAAAAGAUUGUGUACUGUAAACAGUCUGUCUUACAUGUACUUUUACAGGUGACUUUUAUUAAAGUUCAAGCUUUAAAAGACUGUUCCUUUUUUAAAACUUUCUACUUGACUUCAAAACUGGGACAAUUUCUCCAUUAAAUUCCAGAUCAGGUAGAGGAAAGGCAGUUACAUCAGCCACCAAAUUCUGAACCUGAUGGAAUCUUUCAGAUUAAACAUGAUUGCCAUUAAAAUGGUACAUUUAAUAAAUUUAAUUCAAUGUCAUGCUGAAUUAAGAACCACAAACAAAACCAAACCAAAAUAAAUACUUUAGAAAAUAACACAGAAACUGUUAGAUUUGAGAAGUUCAAGGAAGUACAGCUAAUAGCAUUUCAAUUACAGUGUACUGGGUCUAAGAGCUGACUGGGAAGAAGGGCUACCAUUAGUGGGGAGUUUUGGAAAGGAUCUGUUUUGCCUCAGGAAAACUGAGGCCUAGAGGGACUUCAUGGUUCCACUCACAGCUGAGCUUAGCAAGCUUCAAGCACCACACCAGCCAGGGCCACUAUGUAACAGUUCACCAAUGGCUUCAGAACAAAGUGCUACUAGAAAAUCCACUGAGAAUGAAAGCUGAGAAUUAGCAAGGAUGCACAUGAAGCCAUGAAAUAUCCAUCUUUAACUUAGCAUGUCUGACAACAUCUGUAUUCUGCCAGCAUGUACACAAUCUCCUCCAUCUUCCCUUCCCUGCUCAAUUUUCUUAGACCUCCUCAAAGGUGAUAUCUGGCUCCAUCAGUUUUGACCAUGAGAGGUGACAGUGGACUCACCUCAGCUGCUCCUUGCUCUGUCCCCACAGGUCAGUGGUCUUCUCAGGAGCCAUGUGCAGGUCCAGGUUGCAGACAUUGGGUUUCUCAGGGUAUAGCUUGAGACACUGCUUCACCCAGUGACGCUGGCAGCCAGGAAGGAAAGGGUUUGGUAUGAAAAUAAACCCUGACCACAAAGAAAAAAGGAGAAGAUGGAGACAAAGUAGGAUUAGACGUUUCCCUGGUUUUUCUUCUGAAUCUAGAGCAAAGGAUAGGAGCCACAGAUUACACUAAAUUGGAGCAGCCGUGGAUCUACUGGAGGCUAGUGCUGUCCUGAAAAGGAUUUUGACAAAUGAAGAACAGGCUAAAGAGACCCUCAGAAGUUCAACAGUGGUAAUUCUGCAUCUGGGGCAGAAUAACACCAUGCAACAGCAUGGCCCAAGGGUCAAGAGCAGCUCCAAACCAAGGCCAGGCUGCCUUGAGGACAAACUGUGAGCAGCAGUGAGGGCCAGUGACACACCCUGGUAUUGGUGAGCCCCACCCACAAGCAUGAGAGAGGAGGGGAGCCUGAUUCUUCUCAGAUGUGCACAGCAAGAUUGUGAGAGACAACAGUCACAAGUAACAGCAAGACAAAUUUUUAAUUAAUAUGAGGUUCAGGAAAAAAAACAUGGCCAAACAUUGGUGCCCAGAGAGGGCAUGUAAUCUCUCUCUAAAUUACCAGAAUUUACCCAUAUAAGGCUCUCAGCAUCCUGAUCUAACUGGCAACUUCAUCCUGCUUUAAGCAGGGUGUUGGCCUAGACCUCCGGAGGUGCCUUCCAACCUAAUACCUCAAUGUGAUUAUACCAGGUAAACUGCAAACCUAACACACAUUUCCACUUCUGAAAUAACCUGCAUAAUGAAAUUACACUGCAUAUUGAACAGGCCAAAAGGUUCUUAUUCGCUUACUGAACUUUGUGUCCUACACUGACAAGUAGAUGCCACACUUCCACUGUGAAACUACUGCAUUUCAGCCAUGUACCCAGUGAACAUGAUGUAUAUUGAGAAAAAACAGAUUCUACAGAAAUACAGUCUCUGCCAAAGGCAACAGGAGUCCAUUCUCAUGAGCUAUGGUCUGGCUGAUCUCACAGUGAAACAAGUGGCUCUUCUCAUGUUCAUAAAUAUUGCUGUAUCCCAACCUUUAGGUGAUUUGUUUGUCCUCCUGCAUUUACAACAACAUUAAACUACACUUAGGCAAACCAAAAUAGCUUUUUCAGGCAGGACAAGAAGAAUAAGAUUGAAACUGCAUGAAUUCAAAGCAAUGAGGUUGUGUUCAAUUUUUCUUGAAAUCAGAGGUACCCACCUGGAUACCCACUGAGGCCAUAGGCUUUCCACUGACUAACUGGCUGUAAUCCUGCUCUGUAGGCAUCUUGAUCACUGACUGAAGAAAUACUGAGCUGUGAUCUGAACACCUGGAAAAAUAAAACAGAUCUGGUUUAAAAAAGAGUGAGAAACAAAAAACUCAUCCAAAAAUGGCAUCUAAAAGGAAGCGUGCUACCAUGUUUGAAGGUAACUCUCUUGAAAAUGCCAAAUGUACACAAAACUACUCUCUAAACAGCUGUGACCAGGACAGGGUGAACAGAGCCAGCACACACUGAACAUAAGAAUCAAAAGGUACUUACAGGUUUUAUCUAGGGAUGAGAUGUCCCCCACUCAUUAAAAACCCGAACAAUAUAUACCAAUGGGAAAAAAUUCAUCAUGAUUUGUCCAUUUCCACAGUACAGCAUCAUCAUUAUAAAACAUUCUGGUAACUAUCAACCUCCAUUAGAGAGCAACACACUCAUAACACUUUAUACUUUCAAAGAACAUUCCAAAACCAGGUUGCCCAUGAUCCUAGAGGGUAGAUGACUAUUCUCAUCUCUAAUUUACAGGAUAAGCAGUUGAGCAAUGAAGUAGCCAAAGCUGUCUGAUAUGAAGGACUACAGAAACUGUCAAUUCUGAAUGUCACCCUGCCAAUUCUGUUCCAAACAGCAGAAUCAACAGCUCAAGCCUUGGCAAGAUGUAUUUACUUGACAUACUCCCUUAUGUUACAACAACACAUGUAUUUAAGCUAACAUUUGCUGGAAAAAACCCACCAAACUCAUUCUCUACUGUGUUCUCACUCCCUUCUUCCCUUAGGACCGGGAACUGUCUUGAGGAGGGCAAGGCAGAAGCAAGUUGGUUUUGUUCUGGCUUAACUCCCCAGUCCAGCUCUCCAUGCAGCAGUGGAAAAGUAGAGGCUCAUGUAAGGAGAGAUGGCCAGGCACAGAAGGAGUACAUAGGCAGAGAAUGCAAGAUUUUGUCCAUUACAACUUAAAAUGUAUAUCAAAUGAAGGCCUCUGCACACAGC